RNAcentral lists this long non-coding RNA (4715 nucleotides) under Homo sapiens (human). RNAcentral describes it as "HSALNT0404912". The record is from RNAcentral. Lineage: Eukaryota; Metazoa; Chordata; Mammalia; Primates; Hominidae.
UGUGCCAGCCCCUGCCAUCUCCCGCAUGAACUACAGGUACAGAAGGAAUGUUAGCUCCUCUGUGAAACACAAAAAGGGGCUACUGUCAAGUUUUCUCUAAUUAAAAAAAGGAACACGUGCUCACUGAAUAAGAUUUAGAAACCAAGAAAAGUAUGAAGAAAAAAAUGAAGAUCGCCUAUAGUCCCACAUCCCAGGGUCAUCUGUGUCAGUGCUUGGUGUAUUUUCUCCAGCCUCUCGAGGCUGCAUUCUGUUCAACCCGGUUCACCGUGUGGACAUUGCAGGUGUGAGGUGGCAGCACCCGGGAUGUACCUGAUGCCCUGACAGGCACUGGGUAGGUGACUCUUCUCUAUAACCCUGAUAACCCUCUGUGGCUGUGAGCGGGAAGACCCCUCUGUGGGCUGCUGAGCUGGCAAGGGCAGAAGAGGGUUCUGGAUCCAGGGCCUGGCUCCUCCUCUCCACCCCACACAGACCCUACCCGAUACCUUCAUCCCGCUAACCAGAUUAGGAAGGCCCAUGGAGCCGAGGCGAGCCUGCAGCCACCAUGGCCAGGCCUGGGAGCCCAGGGUCAGGCUGCUCCCAUGGCCCAGUCAUGCUCAGCCAGGUCCCCAUUCCGUGGGGGGGCAUGAGGGGUGCCCAGAGGGAGCAGCAUGGUGCCCGGGAGACACCUGGGUGCUGCAGAGAGUAAGAGGUGCAGCUCACACAUGGAAAGCCCCCAUGAUUUCUGGGUGUUUUUACAAGGAGACCAACAAACAGCAUUUGGCAUCUGGCCAAAGAGGAUUCUAUCCCUCUGUUGUCCCAGCAGCACCAGCUUCUACAAGGGCUCCAAGCGCCUGUGCAGAGGUGGCAACGAGGCCUAGUGAGUAGAACACACACCGCGGCUCCCUCCCCAGUACCCAUCCCCUCCCUUCUUCCUCAUGAGGUGGAUCAGGGUGGCCACGUGGCCAGUCACAGGGCUCUCAGCCAGGGUCCCUGCUGGCUGAGGCGGCCACUGUUCUCCCCGGCCACUCUAAUGAGCCAGGGAGAGUGAACUGGGCAAGGCCCUGGGAACACAUGCCAGGGUGAGCUUCAUAAGGUCAAGGCAGCUGGCCUCUGCCCUUUGCACUCUGUCCUUGUCUUCCUUCCUGCUGGGAGGCACAGAAGCCAUCUGGAGGCUGUGAGGGUGGAGACAAAGGCCACAUAAGCCCAGGAUGGCCAGGAGCCGACAGGAGCCUGGGGCGGGGCUCUGUCUGCUGCUUCCCUCUAAGCUGCCCAUGGGGUGAGGACUCCUGGGGGACGAGGCACUACAGCCUGCUUUGUGUUUCCUGCAGACCGAUUAGUCUUAUGGAAGCAGACAAGGGAGCAAAAAAAUGGCGGUGGGGGGGACCCCAGAACUGCCACGGACAAGAAGCCAUCGAAGAGACACACUCCCAUCUAUUUGUUAAACAACCACAUCCUGGUGGCUGCCUCUGUGCCAGGGCCUCGUGGACUCUGGGCAUGGUGCUCUGAAUGAAGACAAACAUGACCACACAGUCUAUGGUGGGGACCACAGACAACAAGAAAUAAGCUACACACACUGAGAAACACUAAGAAACAGCAGUGCGAGUGAGCGUGUGGCCAGGUGGCCAGGGAGAGCCCUGGCAAGGAGGGGACAUCUGAGAUGAGCCCUGGAGGAGACGCAGGAGUGAGGCGCAAGGCACGGCCAUCUGAGAAGAGGGAAUGCAUGACGCGGCCUAUGGUGGGAGCAGCCCAGGAGGGCAGCUUCAAAAGUGAAACUGAUGGGAUGUGCUGAGAAUCAUCCGUGGGAAGUGCAAGCAGGACCCCAGCAUGGCCACAGCACAGCAAGCGAGGGGAAGAGAGAGGAUGGAAGUCAGGUGGGAAGGGGGCUUGCAGGUCACAGAAACAAGCCCACCUUCGAGUCUGUAGGGGGGCUCUGAUUCCCCCCUGGCUUGCGCCAACCGCAUGUGGAGAAGGGGAAGAUGCCUGGGGUUGGGGAGCAGGAGGCCAGGCCAGGGGGCAGCAGCUGGGAUGCUGGGACUUGUCAGAUCCUGGAUAAACCUCAAAGGUGAAGGUGAUGGGAUGUGCUGAGAGUCAUCAGUGGGAUGUGCAUAAGAGGGAGUCAAAGAUGUCUGAGCAGAGAGAAGGACCUCGCUGGCAUCUACAGUGAAGGGAGGGACCUCGCUGGCAUCUACAGUGAAUGGAGGGACCUCGCUGGCAUCUAUAGUGAAGGGAAGGGUCACGCUGGCAUCUACAGUAAAGGGAGGGACCUAGCUGGCAUCUACAGUGACGGGAGGGACCUCGCUCACAUCUACAGUAAAGGGAGGGGCCACACUGGCAUCUACAGUAAAGGGAGGGGCCCCACUGGCAUCAACAGUGAAGGGAAGAACCACCCUGGCAUCAACAGUGAUGGCGGAUGGGCGACCAGUGCAGCGGUGUCUGGAGCUGAGGUCGGACCCAUUAGUUGGGGCUGCUAAUCAGUUCACCAUGCAGGCCGUGGGCCAAGCCACUGAAGGGAUCCACCUGGACUAGGAGUGACUGGGCUGGCCACAGAGCUCUGCCCUACCCGCUCACCGCUGGACAUGAAACAGCAAGUGCCUAUCCUGGAGGGCUCCGCCUGGGGAGUGCCAGGGAGAAGAAGACAGAGGUCCCAGGAGUCCCAGGGGCCCCCAUUACUGGCCACCUCCGCUCAACCCAAACUGCACUAUGUGAGGUCCCGCCAGACUACAUACAGGCCAACGAGAGCCCAAGAAUGCAGCCAGGAAACCAGGCCAGGCAGACUCCAAAAGCCCGUGCUACGGGGUCAGUAGGACCCGCCUACAGCUGAGGGCUAUAGGCAGCUCUCCAGAGGACCUCCCAGGAGAAGCCAACAGUGCACAUGGGCUAGGUUCCUCCUGCUGUUCACCCUCUGUGCCCAGUAACUACCCAGGAACAGGCAUGACUGACUCUGCCAACUCAUUCACUGGGUAACCGCUGACCCCACCAGGCCCUCGGAGUAAAGCAGUUAGUGAGAACCGCAGGUAAAAGCGCGGGCUACUCAUCCCUCCGCCUGUGGAUUCUAUUAUCAACAAAGAUGCAUCACCUGCUAGAAGAGCGGUUCUCAAACUUGGCUGCACAUCAGGUUCACUUCAAAAGCUUCAGGAAAAGCUAGUGCCUUGGGCCCACCCCAGAGACAGGUAUAGCUCAAGGUGAGAACCAGAGCACCAGCAGGCAGGCCUCUGCCAGGCAGCAUGGGCAACGUGUGCUGGGUGAAUGUGCGGCCUGCACUCAUCACCCAGAAGAGCCCCACUGUGUCCACACAAGGACAGGCCACCGAAGUCCCAGUCCCCACUCUCCCUUCUCACUUACUUUGUGAAUGAGAGCUCACCAACAGUUUACCGUCUUCCGAGUGCUGCGGCCUCACCGCCCGACCCGCAGCAGGGGUGAGGGCUUGCAAAGGCCAUGCAACAGAUCCUCCCCCUCAAAGGGGCUCAGGCCUCAGUGUGGUAAUGGGAGCGGCCCCUUCCCACACUUGUCAGAGAACCCACCCACCCGGUGGAAUGAAGCCGAAGCCCAAGCCGCAGGGCAACAGCCCGGGACGGCAGGGGACAAGUCUGUACAGCAGCCACACCCCUGCCAGAGCCAGGAGCUCUUCCAUUUCCACAGCAGGCCAACUCUCACCUGGAAGCACCCACCUAACCAAACCCAAUCCCUGCCUUCUUUUAGUCACACUGGGAACUGCCACAGGAAGGCUGGGGACUCCACAUACUCCCUCCUCACCACACCCCAUGUGUGAUCACCCUUAAACAGAAAACAUGCACCUAAGAUCCUACGAUGCGCUGCCCACCUCACAAAAAACCGGUGCCUCUAGGUAAGAGCACCUAGCUGACCCAUCCCUGUUCCCUCUCACCAUUAGAAGGACCCCCAAGUCCCCCUGUUCUAACACCGAGGCUGCACUCCCACUCUCCACCCACUAACAUUACCAUAAAAAAUAAAUUGAAUAGUUAGAAGGAGGGGCUCCCCAAAGCCUGGCCACCUUCCCGAGGGUCCCAAGCAGUUUCUUGGAGUCCCUCUCCCCACUCAGUCCCGCCACACCCCUCUCAGGCAGUCUGGCCCUUCCCUCCUGAACUUUGGCGGGCUGGAACCAGCUCCCAGCCUCUCCUCCCUUAUCAAGCUCACUGGGGGCCCACACAGAGCUCCCAUCCCCACCAGCUUUUCUCGCUUUGCCACUCCCAGCUAAAACUGGGCUCAAGGCAAGCAAGCCUGCAGUCCCUCAGUCCCUCGGGGCCCAGCCCCUCCUCAGAGCCCUCCCCCAGCCCAGGUCCCUAACCCUUAGGGCAAGGCCCCUCCCAGCAGGAAGCGAACCCUGGCGGUGCCAGGCAGAGUCAAACUGGAAGGGCUGGUUCAGAAGCCCCUAAAUGGGAGCCAGGACCUCUCUUAGGGAGGGGGCUUUCAGCCCCAUCCUCCCUAGUGCGAUCUCAGAUCUCUCCAGACACCACACUAUAUGGGCCUCCACAGGCGGUGGAGUCAAAGGCAUUUACCCUCCAGCCCCCAGCAAGCUACUUAACUUCCAAAAGCAGCUCCUUCCCUCCUCCAGAGGAGAACGGGCCGCGUGCUGAACUGCAAGCGCCUCUAUCACCCCGCCCAGGCAAGUCUGUGAGCACCAGAAAGCAGGGGCCAACAUGACUUGGUCUAAACCAAGGGGGCCAGGCACUGACUUUGCGCUCAGAAAAUGUGGCGGAAUGAAUAAAAAGCUUGAAAAA